This 433-nucleotide ribosomal RNA is filed under the name uncultured bacterium. RNAcentral's name for it is "partial 16S ribosomal RNA". It matches the Rfam family "Bacterial small subunit ribosomal RNA", at positions 29 to 507 of the family's 1533-position model. The record is from RNAcentral.
AACGAACGCUGGCGGCAUGCCUAACACAUGCAAGUCGAACGAGACCUUCGGGUCUAGUGGCGCACGGGUGCGUAACGCGUGGGAACCUGCCCUUAGGUUCGGAAUAACUCCCCGAAAGGGGUGCUAAUACCGGAUAAUGUCUUCGGACCAAAGAUUUAUCGCCUUUGGAUGGGCCCGCGUUGGAUUAGCUAGUUGGUAGGGUAAAAGCCUACCAAGGCGACGAUCCAUAGCUGGUCUGAGAGGAUGAUCAGCCACACUGGGACUGAGACACGGCCCAGACUCCUACGGGAGGCAGCAGUGGGGAAUAUUGGACAAUGGGCGAAAGCCUGAUCCAGCAAUGCCGCGUGAGUGAUGAAGGCCUUAGGGUUGUAAAGUUCUUUUACCCGGGAUGAUAAUGACAGUACCGGGAGAAUAAGCGCCGGCUAACUCCGUG